CUUGCACCUGAUGGCGAGUGGCGAACGGGUGAGUAAUGCAUCGGAACGUGCCCAAUCGGUGGGGGAUAACGCAGACGAAAGCUGUGCUAAUACCGCAUACGAUCUACGGAUGAAAGGCGGGGGACCUUCGGGCCUCGCGCGGUUGGAGCGGCCGAUGUUAGAUUAGGUAGUUGGUGGGGUAAAAGGCUCACCCAAGCCCGACAAUCUAUAGCUGGUCUGAGAGGACGACCAGCCACACUGGAACUGAGACAUGGUCCAGACUCC
Molecule: ribosomal RNA, 264 nt
Filed under: unidentified marine bacterioplankton
Lineage: Bacteria
Description: partial 16S ribosomal RNA
Rfam family: Bacterial small subunit ribosomal RNA
Source: RNAcentral